RNAcentral lists this ribosomal RNA (1332 nucleotides) under uncultured bacterium. Its description in RNAcentral is "bacterial SSU rRNA". It matches the Rfam family "Bacterial small subunit ribosomal RNA", at positions 28 to 1381 of the family's 1533-position model. The record is from RNAcentral.
GACGAACGCUGGCGGCGCGCCUAACACAUGCAAGUCGAACGAGCAAAGAGGAGCUUGCUUCUCUGAGCGAGUGGCGAACGGGUGAGUAACGCGUGAGGAACCUGCCUCAAAGAGGGGGACAACAGUUGGAAACGACUGCUAAUACCGCAUAAGCCCACGGGUCGGCAUCGACCAGAGGGAAAAGGAGCAAUCCGCUUUGAGAUGGCCUCGCGUCCGAUUAGCUAGUUGGUGAGGUAACGGCCCACCAAGGCGACGAUCGGUAGCCGGACUGAGAGGUUGAACGGCCACAUUGGGACUGAGACACGGCCCAGACUCCUACGGGAGGCAGCAGUGGGGAAUAUUGCACAAUGGGGGAAACCCUGAUGCAGCGACGCCGCGUGGAGGAAGAAGGUCUUCGGAUUGUAAACUCCUGUUGUUGAGGAAGAUAAUGACGGUACUCAACAAGGAAGUGACGGCUAACUACGUGCCAGCAGCCGCGGUAAAACGUAGGUCACAAGCGUUGUCCGGAAUUACUGGGUGUAAAGGGAGCGCAGGCGGGAAGACAAGUUGGAAGUGAAAUCCAUGGGCUCAACCCAUGAACUGCUUUCAAAACUGUUUUUCUUGAGUAGUGCAGAGGUAGGCGGAAUUCCCGGUGUAGCGGUGGAAUGCGUAGAUAUCGGGAGGAACACCAGUGGCGAAGGCGGCCUACUGGGCACCAACUGACGCUGAGGCUCGAAAGUGUGGGUAGCAAACAGGAUUAGAUACCCUGGUAGUCCACACCGUAAACGAUGAUUACUAGGUGUUGGAGGAUUGACCCCUUCAGUGCCGCAGUUAACACAAUAAGUAAUCCACCUGGGGAGUACGACCGCAAGGUUGAAACUCAAAGGAAUUGACGGGGGCCCGCACAAGCAGUGGAGUAUGUGGUUUAAUUCGACGCAACGCGAAGAACCUUACCAAGUCUUGACAUCCUGCGACGGACAUAGAAAUAUGUCUUUCCUUCGGGACGCAGAGACAGGUGGUGCAUGGUUGUCGUCAGCUCGUGUCGUGAGAUGUUGGGCUAAGUCCCGCAACGAGCGCAACCCUUAUGGUCAGUUACUACGCAAGAGGACUCUGGCCAGACUGCCGUUGACAAAACGGAGGAAGGUGGGGAUGACGUCAAAUCAUCAUGCCCUUUAUGACUUGGGCUACACACGUACUACAAUGGCGUUAAACAAAGAGAAGCAAGACCGCGAGGUGGAGCAAAACUCAGAAACAACGUCCCAGUUCGGACUGCAGGCUGCAACUCGCCUGCACGAAGUCGGAAUUGCUAGUAAUCGUGGAUCAGCAUGCCACGGUGAAUACGUUCCCGGGCCU